AAGAGUGUUAAUAAGGAUAAAAUAUUAAAGAGGAUGGUGGGACCAUUGCCAUAAAAGGAAAGUGACAUAAUCUUGGCGGACGCCCGAUAUAGUAAUUGUGACAUAAUCUUGGUGGACGGAGAGAGUAUUAUCUUAUUUGGAAAUGUGUCAAGAUUCGUGGGACGGUCCAAAAAUGAAUACGUGUCAAAGUUCGUGGGACGGAGGGAAUAUUUUAUUGAAUUCGCAAGAAAAGUUUUUUUCUUUUCCUUUUUUUUUUUGAGAGAGAGGGAGAGAAAUUUGCGAGAGAAUAGUUAUUACAAUAAAUUUCAACAAUCUUUAUAUGAAUAAUAGAUAUGAAUCUUUUUAUUUAAUGAUGUUUCAGCCUACCCUAACUCCCUCUCGUCCUCGAUGC
Molecule: long non-coding RNA, 391 nt
Filed under: Salvia miltiorrhiza (redroot sage)
Lineage: Eukaryota; Viridiplantae; Streptophyta; Magnoliopsida; Lamiales; Lamiaceae
Description: long non-coding RNA (SMIL_LNC001250)
Source: RNAcentral